UUUGAAGUUCGACAUUUUUAUACUCUCGCAACAAUUUGCUAAGGAGAGUAUUAUAGUUUUGUUCACAUAACGGUUGUUUGUAAGUCCUAAAACUAAAAGAGUCAGAUAUAGGGUUAUAUAUACCAAAGUGAUCAGGGUGACGAGUAGAGUUGAAAUCCGGAUGUAUGUCUGUCCGUCCGUCUGUCCGUCCGUCCGUCUGUGCAAGCUGUAACUUGAGUAAAAAUUGAGAAACUUGGUACACGUAUUUCUUGGCUCCAUAAGAAGGUUAAGUUCGAAGAUGGGCAAAAUCGGCGAACUGCCACGCCCACAAAAUGGCGGAAACCGAAAACCUAUAAAGUGUCAUAACUAAGCCAUAAAUAAAGAUAUUAAAGUGAUAUUUGGCACAAAGGAUCGCAUUAGGGAGGGGCAUAUUUGGACGUAAUUUUUUUGGAAAAGUGGGCGUGGCCCCGACCCCUACUAAGUUUUUUGUACAUACCUCGGAAACUACUAUAGUUAUGUCAACCAAACUCCACAGAGCCGUUUUCUUCAGGCAUUUCCAUAUACAGUUCAAAAAUGGAAGAAAUCGGAUAAUAACCACGCCCACCUCCCAUACAAAGGUUAUGUUGAAAAUCCCUAAAAGUGCGUUAACCGACUAACAAAAAACGUCAGAAACACUAAAUUUUACGGAAGAAAUGGCAGAAGGAAGCUGCACCCAUUUUUUUUUUAAAUUGAAAAUGGGCGUGGCAUCGCCCACUUAUGGACCAAAAACCAUAUCUCAGGAACUACUUUACCGAUUUCAAUGAAAUUCGGUAUAUAAUAUUUUCUUAACACCCUGAUAACAUGUACGAAAUAUGGGUGAAAUCGGUUCACAACCACGCCUUAUUCCAAUAUAACGCUAUUUUGAAUUCCAUCUGAUGCCUUCUCUGUAUAAUAUAUAGUACAUUAGGAACCAAUGAUGAUAGCGGAAUAAAACUUUACACAAAUACGGUAUUUGAGCUGAGGUAUCCCUUGUGGAAAAAUUGUCGUGAUCGGACUAUAACUUUUCAAGGUCCCUUAUAUCGAACAAGAAGAAUUCAGUGCCUAACCUAACCUAACCUAAUUUUUCACCGAAAAUAUCAGUAAAUCUCUCAGAUGUUUUCAUGUAAUUCAGAGGGCAUCAUUUUUAUAUUCUCGCAAUAAAGUUGCUAAUAACGGUAUCUCGAUUAUCACUUUAUCAUGCGAGAGUAUAAAAUGUUCGGUGACACCCGAACUUAGCCCUUCCUUACUUGUUGGUGAUAAAGUUGCAUACUUUAAAGGAGCUAUUACUGCAAAAUUUUAACCCGUUAUAUCAAUUGCUUCCUGAUUUGUGUAGGGGAAAGUGAAAGAAUCAAAUGGAGUUUUGUAUUGUGUUAUAUGGGAAGUUGGCGUGGUUGUAGUCUGAUUGAUUCCAUUUUCAAACGUUGACAUAAUAAUAUAAAAAGAAUACUACGUAGCAAAUUUAGUCGAAAUCAGUCGGUCGGGUCCCGAGAUAUGUGAUUUCAACAAAAAGUGGGCGGCAUCACGCCUAUCGUCCAAUUUUCAAACUGGGCGUCAUAAAGCCCUCGCAUACCAACUCGUCUGUAGAAUUUAAUGUCUCUGGCGAAUUCAGUUACUGAUUUAUUGCACUUUUAGUAAUUUUGAACAGUACCGUUAUAUGCGAAGUGAGAGGGGCUAUUAUCCGAUUUCAUGCAUUGUCACACUGUCGUUAAGAAUUCCUAUACAAAUUUCUAUAUAUCUACAAUAAUAACUUAAGGUUAGAUAUUUUGAUCUUUUUCUUGUAAAUGAUGAAUAUUUUCUCAGUUCUAAGAAGAUCUAAUGCUAAUAAAACAUAAAUUUUGGUUUCAUUCAAUUUGAAA
Bactrocera neohumeralis is the source of this 1853-nucleotide long non-coding RNA. RefSeq lists it as uncharacterized. NCBI's taxonomy places the organism in Eukaryota, Metazoa, Arthropoda, Insecta, Diptera, Tephritidae. The record is from RefSeq and is a predicted model, not a curated record. The transcript has 2 exons.